GGCAGGGGCCAAGGCUCUGUGGUAGAGCACCUGCUUGGCAUGCUGAAGAUCCCAGUUUCGAUCCCUGGCACCUCCAGUUA
RNAcentral lists this transfer RNA (80 nucleotides) under Sphaerodactylus townsendi. RNAcentral's name for it is "tRNA-Ala". It matches the Rfam family "tRNA". Rfam says of the family: Transfer RNA (tRNA) molecules are approximately 80 nucleotides in length. Their secondary structure includes four short double-helical elements and three loops (D, anti-codon, and T loops). Lineage: Eukaryota; Metazoa; Chordata; Lepidosauria; Squamata; Sphaerodactylidae. The record is from RNAcentral.